ACGAACGCUGGCGGCGUGCUUAACCCAUGCAAGUCGAACGGAAAGGCCCUGCUUUUGUGGGGUGCUCGAGUGGCGAACGGGUGAGUAACACGUGAGUAACCUGCCCUUGACUUUGGGAUAACUUCAGGAAACUGGGGCUAAUACCGGAUAGGAGCUCCUGCUGCAUGGUGGGGGUUGGAAAGUUUCGGCGGUUGGGGAUGGACUCGCGGCUUAUCAGCUUGUUGGUGGGGUAGUGGCUUACCAAGGCUUUGACGGGUAGCCGGCCUGAGAGGGUGACCGGCCACAUUGGGACUGAGAUACGGCCCAGACUCCUACGGGAGGCAGCAGUGGGGAAUAUUGCACAAUGGGCGGAAGCCUGAUGCAGCAACGCCGCGUGCGGGAUGACGGCCUUCGGGUUGUAAACCGCUUUCGCCUGUGACGAAGCGUGAGUGACGGGAAUGGGUAAAGAAGCACCGGCUAACUACGU
RNAcentral lists this ribosomal RNA (466 nucleotides) under uncultured bacterium. RNAcentral's name for it is "partial 16S ribosomal RNA". It matches the Rfam family "Bacterial small subunit ribosomal RNA", at positions 29 to 506 of the family's 1533-position model. The record is from RNAcentral.